RNAcentral lists this ribosomal RNA (478 nucleotides) under uncultured bacterium. RNAcentral describes it as "partial 16S ribosomal RNA". It matches the Rfam family "Bacterial small subunit ribosomal RNA", at positions 28 to 507 of the family's 1533-position model. The record is from RNAcentral.
GAUGAACGCUAGCGGGAGGCCUAACACAUGCAAGCCGAGCGGUAUUUGUUCUUCGGAACAGAGAGAGCGGCGCACGGGUGCGGAACACGUGUGCAACCUGCCUUUAUCUGGGGGAUAGCCUUUCGAAAGGAAGAUUAAUACCCCAUAAUAUAUUGAGUGGCAUCAUUUGAUAUUGAAAACUCCGGUGGAUAGAGAUGGGCACGCGCAAGAUUAGAUAGUUGGUGAGGUAACGGCUCACCAAGUCAAUGAUCUUUAGGGGCCUGAGAGGGUGAUCCCCCACACUGGUACUGAGACACGGACCAGACUCCUACGGGAGGCAGCAGUGAGGAAUAUUGGACAAUGGGUUAGCGCCUGAUCCAGCCAUCCCGCGUGAAGGACGACGGCCCUAUGGGUUGUAAACUUCUUUUGUAUAGGGAUAAACCUACUCUCGUGAGAGUAGCUGAAGGUACUAUACGAAUAAGCACCGGCUAACUCCGUG